GAUGAACGCUGGCGGCGUGCCUAAUACAUGCAAGUCGAGCGAACGGACGAGAAGCUUGCUUCUCUGAUGUUAGCGGCGGACGGGUGAGUAACACGUGGAUAACCUACCUAUAAGACUGGGAUAACUUCGGGAAACCGGAGCUAAUACCGGAUAAUAUUUUGAACCGCAUGGUUCAAAAGUGAAAGACGGUCUUGCUGUCACUUAUAGAUGGAUCCGCGCUGCAUUAGCUAGUUGGUAAGGUAACGGCUUACCAAGGCAACGAUGCAUAGCCGACCUGAGAGGGUGAUCGGCCACACUGGAACUGAGACACGGUCCAGACUCCUACGGGAGGCAGCAGUAGGGAAUCUUCCGCAAUGGGCGAAAGCCUGACGGAGCAACGCCGCGUGAGUGAUGAAGGUCUUCGGAUCGUAAAGCUCUGUUAUUAGGGAAGAACAUAUGUGUAAGUAACUGUGCACAUCUUGACGGUACCUAAACAGAAAGCCACGGCUAACUACGUG
Molecule: ribosomal RNA, 497 nt
Filed under: uncultured bacterium
Lineage: Bacteria
Description: partial 16S ribosomal RNA
Rfam family: Bacterial small subunit ribosomal RNA
Source: RNAcentral